RNAcentral lists this ribosomal RNA (572 nucleotides) under uncultured bacterium. RNAcentral's name for it is "partial 16S ribosomal RNA". It matches the Rfam family "Bacterial small subunit ribosomal RNA", at positions 355 to 920 of the family's 1533-position model. The record is from RNAcentral.
UGGGGAAUUUUGGACAAUGGGCGAAAGCCUGAUCCAGCAAUGCCGCGUGUGUGAAGAAGGCCUUCGGGUUGUAAAGCACUUUUGUCCGGAAAGAAAUCCUUGGCUCUAAUACAGUCGGGGGAUGACGGUACCGGAAGAAUAAGCACCGGCUAACUACGUGCCAGCAGCCGCGGUAAUACGUAGGGUGCAAGCGUUAAUCGGAAUUACUGGGCGUAAAGCGUGCGCAGGCGGUUUGCUAAGACCGAUGUGAAAUCCCCGGGCUCAACCUGGGAACUGCAUUGGUGACUGGCAGGCUAGAGUAUGGCAGAGGGGGGUAGAAUUCCACGUGUAGCAGUGAAAUGCGUAGAGAUGUGGAGGAAUACCGAUGGCGAAGGCAGCCCCCUGGGCCAAUACUGACGCUCAUGCACGAAAGCGUGGGGAGCAAACAGGAUUAGAUACCCUGGUAGUCCACGCCCUAAACGAUGUCAACUAGUUGUUGGGGAUUCAUUUCCUUAGUAACGUAGCUAACGCGUGAAGUUGACCGCCUGGGGAGUACGGUCGCAAGAUUAAAACACAAAUGAAUUGACGGGGUC